This 338-nucleotide unclassified non-coding RNA is filed under the name soil metagenome. Its description in RNAcentral is "partial contains 5.8S ribosomal RNA, internal transcribed spacer 2, and large subunit ribosomal RNA". The stretch from base 1 to 120 matches the Rfam family "5.8S ribosomal RNA", at positions 35 to 154 of the family's 154-position model. The record is from RNAcentral.
GAUGAAGAACGCAGCGAAAUGCGAUAAGUAGUGUGAAUUGCAGAAUUCAGUGAAUCAUCGAAUCUUUGAACGCACAUUGCGCCCCUUGGUAUUCCAUGGGGCAUGCCUGUUCGAGCGUCAUCUACACCCUCAAGCUCUGCUUGGUGUUGGGCGUCUGCCCCGCCCCCGCGCGUGGACUCGCCCCAAAUCCAUUGGCAGCGUUCCUUGCCCCCUCUCGCGCAGCACAUUGCGCUUCUCGAGGGCGGCUCCGGGACGCGAUCCAGCAAGAUGACCACCGUCUUUGACCUCGGAUCAGGUAGGGAUACCCGCUGAACUUAAGCAUAUCAAUAAGCGGAGGA